This 218-nucleotide long non-coding RNA is filed under the name Gallus gallus (chicken). Lineage: Eukaryota; Metazoa; Chordata; Aves; Galliformes; Phasianidae. The record is from RNAcentral.
GUCUGUUUUAUCUGUGUUAUAUGAAGUUACAGAUGAUGUUUCUGAAUCUAAGGAUUCUUCAUCAAAUCCAAAAAAUGUCUCCACAACAUGCCUCUUUUGAGGCUUCAGAAUUUUCUUCUUCUGCUUUUUAGAUCGCAAUAGUCGUUCCCUUUCCACUGUGAGAUCAUCAAUAACAUGCUGCUUUUCUUUGACUUGCAGUCGAAGAAAUUCAAUUUCUU